This 345-nucleotide unclassified non-coding RNA is filed under the name soil metagenome. RNAcentral's name for it is "partial contains 5.8S ribosomal RNA, internal transcribed spacer 2, and large subunit ribosomal RNA". The stretch from base 1 to 119 matches the Rfam family "5.8S ribosomal RNA", at positions 35 to 154 of the family's 154-position model. The record is from RNAcentral.
GAUGAAGAACGUAGCAAAUGCGAUAAGUAAUGUGAAUUGCAGAAUUCAGUGAAUCAUCGAGUCUUUGAACGCACAUUGCGCCCCCUGGUAUUCCGGGGGGCAUGCCUGUCCGAGCGUCAUUGCUGCCCUCAAGCACGGCUUGUGUGUUGGGCCCCGUCCUCCGAUCCCGGGGGACGGGCCCGAAAGGCAGCGGCGGCACCGCGUCCGGUCCUCGAGCGUAUGGGGCUUUGUCACCCGCUCUGUAGGCCCGGCCGGCGCUUGCCGAUCAACCCAAAUUUUUAUCCAGGUUGACCUCGGAUCAGGUAGGGAUACCCGCUGAACUUAAGCAUAUCAAUAAGCGGAGGA